RNAcentral lists this long non-coding RNA (371 nucleotides) under Daucus carota (carrot). RNAcentral's name for it is "long non-coding RNA (DCAR_LNC006141)". Lineage: Eukaryota; Viridiplantae; Streptophyta; Magnoliopsida; Apiales; Apiaceae. The record is from RNAcentral.
AACAAGCCCUAGCAUGAACCCUGGAUCAUCGACAGCUAAAGGAUCAGAGGGUUCCAAAGCUGAUAACAAGAAGAAAACUAAUCCCCUUCUGGUUAAAAAGCGGGAAGCUGCCGACUUUUUGAAACGAAUCAAGAAGAGUUCUCCUGCAAAAGGGACAUUGCUCGAUACAUUAAAGAAUUUGCCAGAAAAUAGUAAUUCAAGUAGCAAAAGAGAAACUAGAGAACAACCAAAGAAGAAAGUGGUGGAUGAACGGAAAGAAUCAACAAGAGGACGUCAGAAGGGCAGAGGCGGUGGAAAACGGGCAAAGGAGGAGGAAGCUAGUCAGUCAAAGCGGAAUGUGGGCAGGCCACCAAAGAGGGGUAGAGAUGACG